GCACUAGGUCACGAAGCUGUCAAGGCUCUUUGAGAGAGAGAGAGAGAGAGAGGGGCCAAGUACAGUUUAGGUGGGAAUAGCCAUGGUGGUAAUAGUAUCCAAGAGAAUGGGCUUGAUGAUGCUUGUGGCGACACUCAUACUGUGCUCGUCCAUUGGUGCCGACGCCGACGCGCACAUACUUGUGUCGCGCAAGUGGAGAUGUGUAAUGUUAUGUGCCUUGACACCUCCUAUAAUUCCAUGCGUUCUCAAAUGCCUCAUCUAUCCUCCCACACAGUCCUUGACGUCCGCGGCAUCGCAACAUUGCGAUGUCGGUUGUUUCUUGUCUACUUGCCUUGACAAUCAUCAAGACUCCGAGAAAGUUGGAAUGGACGUGAACAAGGCUGGAGCUUGUGCAGAUUCGUGCUCCCGGAGUUGCCAAAAGACCUAUCCAUUGCACUAAAGUCAUUGAACUUUUGUAAUGCCUUUGUGGUUUCAUUGCUCAACAAAUAAAAACAGCCCUUUUAAUA
This is a long non-coding RNA of Syzygium oleosum, 506 nucleotides long. RefSeq lists it as uncharacterized. NCBI's taxonomy places the organism in Eukaryota, Viridiplantae, Streptophyta, Magnoliopsida, Myrtales, Myrtaceae. The record is from RefSeq and is a predicted model, not a curated record. The transcript has 2 exons.